AGAAAUAAAUGAAAGUAAUACGAGUGCGGGAAAUAAAUGGAAGUAAAGAUAGUGCGAGAAAUAAAUAAAAGUAGUGCGAGUGCGGGAAAUAAAUGAAAGUAAAGACAGUGCGGGAAAGUAAAGUAGACAAAGGUAAAGUAAUAAAAACCUGCUCCAAUGUACUAAAGAUACACUAUACUGGUGACUCGUCAGACACAUGCAUUUUCUAAGACACUCUAACUAAAGGCAAAAUAAAACAAAGUAAAC
RNAcentral lists this long non-coding RNA (246 nucleotides) under Lathyrus oleraceus (garden pea). RNAcentral describes it as "Pisum sativum (pea) long non-coding RNA (PSAT_LNC025797)". Lineage: Eukaryota; Viridiplantae; Streptophyta; Magnoliopsida; Fabales; Fabaceae. The record is from RNAcentral.